UUUUCUUCCUUGAUCAUUAUUAAUGAAUUUUGAAGAUGUAUCAUCGAGAUUUUCAUAGGGAAUUAGGAAUAGGAAAUUGCAUGUCAUUUCUGUUUUCCUUUCUUGUUUCUGUGAGAGAGCUUCUUUAUGUAAGGGUUAAAAAUCUUGUUUUAUGUUUACAGUAGCAUUUGCUUGUACACCUGAAGCUGUAAAGAACCCA
RNAcentral lists this long non-coding RNA (199 nucleotides) under Phoenix dactylifera (date palm). RNAcentral describes it as "long non-coding RNA (PDAC_LNC013891)". The record is from RNAcentral. Lineage: Eukaryota; Viridiplantae; Streptophyta; Magnoliopsida; Arecales; Arecaceae.